GCAAGUCGAGGGAGAACUAUUCGCUUCGUAAGAAGUGGAUAGGGAAACCGGCGAACGGGUGAGUAUCACGUGAGAAACCUGCCCUGAAGAUCGGGAUAGCCCGGGGAAACCCGGAUUAAUACCGAAUACCUUCAUUGGAUCGCAUGUUCCGUUGAAGAAAUGCUCAGGCGCUUCAGGAUGGUCUCGCGGCCUAUCAGCUUGUUGGUGAGGUAACGGCUCACCAAGGCUCCGACGGGUAGCUGGUCUGAGAGGACGAUC
Molecule: ribosomal RNA, 258 nt
Filed under: uncultured bacterium
Lineage: Bacteria
Description: partial 16S ribosomal RNA
Rfam family: Bacterial small subunit ribosomal RNA
Source: RNAcentral